Molecule: ribosomal RNA, 253 nt
Filed under: uncultured bacterium
Lineage: Bacteria
Description: partial 16S ribosomal RNA
Rfam family: Bacterial small subunit ribosomal RNA
Source: RNAcentral
UACGGGGGGGGCAAGCGUUGUUCGGAAUUACUGGGCGUAAAGAGCUCGUAGGCGGUUUGUCGCGUCGAAUGUGAAAACCCGGGGCUCAACCCCGGGCCUGCAUUCGAUACGGGCAGACUAGAGUUCGGUAGGGGAGUCUGGAAUUCCUGGUGUAGCGGUGAAAUGCGCAGAUAUCAGGAGGAACACCGGUGGCGAAGGCGGGUCUCUGGGCCGAUAUUGACGCUGAGGAGCGAAAGCGUGGGGAGCGAACAGG